GGGCCCGUAGCUCAGUGGUUAGAGCACUCGGCUCAUAACCGAUUUGUCGGAGGUUCAAAUCCUCCCGGGCCCA
This 73-nucleotide transfer RNA is filed under the name Patescibacteria group bacterium. RNAcentral describes it as "tRNA-Ile". It matches the Rfam family "tRNA". Rfam says of the family: Transfer RNA (tRNA) molecules are approximately 80 nucleotides in length. The record is from RNAcentral.